Molecule: long non-coding RNA, 333 nt
Filed under: Brassica napus (rape)
Lineage: Eukaryota; Viridiplantae; Streptophyta; Magnoliopsida; Brassicales; Brassicaceae
Description: long non-coding RNA (BNAP_LNC011401)
Source: RNAcentral
GAGAAAGCAAAAAAAAAAAAGAAAAAAAAAAAGAGAGAGCAUCGUUCCUGAUAUUGAUAAUCGGAGGAGAAGAGAUCGUGAUAUUGAUUAUCAGAGCUCGUUUGAUUCAAGGACCAAGCCAAGCACAACUAGCAAUAAAAAAAAACAAUAGAAACCGCACAAAGAAAAAUAGGCGAUGGAGGGAACAUCGCAACAUGUGAUUCCUAUAUUUGAUGGGGAUAAGUAUGAAUUCUGGCGUAUAAAGAUGACGACCAUCUUCAAGACCAGAAAGUUGUGGACGGUGGUGGAAAAGGGAUUCCAGAUGCGCCAACACAAGUAGAGCAAACUCCGGAA